AGCAGUUUCCACAGCCCCAGCGGAGCCCCAUUGCUGCCACCUCGGUUCCUGAAAACCUCCCGGCCGGCUUCCAUCCCCUCUGCUGGCUAGCGGACUGUGAGACCAGACUCGGCUCCACUGGAUAUACUCUCAUCUUUACAA
Melanotaenia boesemani (Boeseman's rainbowfish) is the source of this 141-nucleotide long non-coding RNA. RefSeq lists it as uncharacterized. NCBI's taxonomy places the organism in Eukaryota, Metazoa, Chordata, Actinopteri, Atheriniformes, Melanotaeniidae. The transcript is spliced from 2 exons. The record is from RefSeq and is a predicted model, not a curated record.